RNAcentral lists this long non-coding RNA (917 nucleotides) under Homo sapiens (human). RNAcentral describes it as "long intergenic non-protein coding RNA 1206". The record is from RNAcentral. Lineage: Eukaryota; Metazoa; Chordata; Mammalia; Primates; Hominidae.
CCUCUCUCUCCCGGGUUCACAAGAUUCUCCUGCCUCAGCCUCCUGAGUAGCUGGGAUUACAGGCACCCACCACGAUGCCCGGCUAAUUUUUAGUAGAGACAGGGUUUCACCAUGUUGACCAGGCUGGCCUCGAACUCCUGACCUCAUGUGAUCUGCCCGCCUGGGCCUCCCAAAGUGCUGGGAUUACAGGUGUGAGCCACUGCGCCCGGCCAAGAUGUGGUGUUUCUAAUGGCAGGCACUUGAACCCAAUUGAACCCUGAGAGCUCUCUGAGAGGGCUGUGUGUCUUGGGAAUGAGAGAGUUAUGAGUUUUUCAGUGCCUUCUCUAGCUUUCUAGAAGUUGUUAUGAGUGGACCUGACUACCUAGAGAGAGUAAUACAGAAGCUCCGUGCCGAUCACAGCUACCUCAUUACCAUGUUCCUCCAAGAUGGCCGCCCCUGAGGAGAAUCAUCAACUGGGCUUUACGGAAGAGAGAAAUCCAAACGACCAUCAGCAACAAAUGAAAGACUGAAGUUGAAAGUUUCAAGAUUGUCAAGAAUGACGAGUUGGACUUGGUCUAGUUACUUCCACAGCAGCAGGAGGAACAUGUGUGUGACUCAGGAUAACUGGGGAAGCCUUGGCUAGGCUUUCCUCAUGUCAACCUACCACUCAAAGGGAGAAAACCUCCUGAUCAGAGGUGCCCAGAACCCAGGAAAUCCAUAAUUUUUGAAUGCUGGCCGAGGUCUGUGACCUCUGACUGAAUGGUUUCCAAGCUCCGAAUUCCUAGGUGAUGUUUUCAUUUGUUCACACUUGCUGAAGAAGGGAAAGGCUCUCUGAUUUACGUGUAAGCAAAACAAUCUAAACAGUAGGAUAAAAUCAUGUUGGAAUGGAGUUCUGUGUGGAUGCUCCUUUGAACCAAAUCAGUUCCACAACUGACCCU